This 212-nucleotide unclassified non-coding RNA is filed under the name Hevea brasiliensis (rubber tree). Lineage: Eukaryota; Viridiplantae; Streptophyta; Magnoliopsida; Malpighiales; Euphorbiaceae. The record is from RNAcentral.
CUCCCCCAUAAUUUACACAGUACCAGCAACUCUAAUGAUCUCGAGAAAUUUUCUGUCUAUCUCUUAAACCAUGACCUGAUUCAAGCUCAGCAGCCAAGAUACGUAUAUCAGGUGUUAUCUCCCAGUUCGCUUUAUGAUCCCGAUUUAUGUGUCUUGGUUGGGUUCCACACCUCUCCAAUCCACCAACAUUGUCAAUAUGGCUUUGUAUUUCU